Molecule: ribosomal RNA, 450 nt
Filed under: uncultured bacterium
Lineage: Bacteria
Description: bacterial SSU rRNA
Rfam family: Bacterial small subunit ribosomal RNA
Source: RNAcentral
CCGCCAGACUCCUACGGGAGGCAGCAGUGGGGAAUAUUGCACAAUGGGGGAAACCCUGAUGCAGCGACGCCGCGUGAGUGAAGAAGUAUUUCGGUAUGUAAAGCUCUAUCAGCAGGGAAGAUAAUGACGGUACCUGAGUAAGAAGCCCCGGCUAACUACGUGCCAGCAGCCGCGGUAAUACGUAGGGGGCAAGCGUUAUCCGGAUUUACUGGGUGUAAAGGGAGCGUAGACGGCAUGGCAAGUCUGAAGUGAAAGCCUGGGGCUCAACCGCGGGACUGCUUUGGAAACUGUUAAGCUGGAGUGCAGGAGAGGUAAGUGGAAUUCCUAGUGUAGCGGUGAAAUGCGUAGAUAUUAGGAGGAACACCAGUGGCGAAGGCGGCUUACUGGACUGUAACUGACGUUGAGGCUCGAAAGCGUGGGGAGCAAACAGGAUUAGAUACCCUCGUAAAG